Long non-coding RNA from Misgurnus anguillicaudatus (oriental weatherfish), 523 nucleotides. RefSeq lists it as uncharacterized. NCBI's taxonomy places the organism in Eukaryota, Metazoa, Chordata, Actinopteri, Cypriniformes, Cobitidae. The record is from RefSeq and is a predicted model, not a curated record.
AAAUGAGUCGAGCCAUUACUGCGGGUUACCCAGAAUUCCCAGCUGGCCUUCAACACGGCGGGGCCACCGCUCACGUGGCCUCUCACCUUUGUGCUGAGGGAUGAAAGCCUGAGCAGUUCACGCUGAUGGUAAUAAUAUCCUCCGCAGUACUCCGGCUCUUCUGUGAAUUGUAUUUCUUGGACAUCCAGGAACCGUUGACAAGGAGAUGUAAUCUGAAACAAUUAUGCCAAUUCCUCAGAACAGUGUGGUGCGGGGCCUGGAGCUGUAGCCCUCACCGCAUUCAUUCAUUUGCACAGGGAAUGGACUCUCAGACGGAUCUGUUCGGAAGGGAUUGUUCAGGAUGAUAGAGUCAUCGAGCAGAGACGACGCUUGUACAGGUGACGCUGGGUGCUCAUGCAAGACAUCAAAAUUAGAAGUGAAAAUAGACUGCAGAGGAAGUGAUUUUGGUUGUAAGGGUUGAUGGAGGUUAAAGGUCAUAAAGGUGGAUAAAUAUGUGUGUGUGUGGUCAGAUUUUAAACACACA